Molecule: ribosomal RNA, 1982 nt
Filed under: freshwater bacterium LH6-2
Lineage: Bacteria
Description: bacterial LSU rRNA
Rfam family: Bacterial large subunit ribosomal RNA
Source: RNAcentral
UCAAGCGAACGAAAGCACGUCGGGGAUGCCUUGGCACACGAAGGCGAUGAAGGGCGUGGUAAGCUGCGAUAAGCGUCGGGGAGUGGCACACACACUGUGAUCCGGCGAUGCCCGAAUGGGGAAACCCGGCCGUCAGCGAUGGCGGUCACGCCGAAAGGCGAGCGAACCCUGGGAACUGAAACAUCUAAGUACCGGGUGGAAGAGAAAUCAAUCGAGAUGCCCUGAGUAGUGGCGAGCGAAACGGGUACAGGCCAAACCGUGGUCCUUCGGGGCUGCGGGGUUGUAGGACCCACGGACGCGCGUGGUGACGCUAGCUGAAGUCUCCUGGAACGGAGCGCCAAAGACGGUGACAGCCCGGUCGGCGAAAGCCAUGAACCAUGCGUAGUGGAGUUCCUGAGUAACGCCCGACCCGAGAAAUCGGGCGUGAAACUGGGGGGACCACCCUCCAAGCCUAAACACUCUCGUGUGACCGAUAGUAGACGAGUACCGUGAGGGAAAGGUGAAAAGCACCCCUGUGCGGGGAGUGAAACAGAUCCUGAAACGACGUGCUUACAAGCGGUAGGAGGGGGCUUCGGCCCCUGACUGCGUGCCUUUUGCAUUAUGAUCCGGCGAGUUACUCGUCGCAUGCGAGGCUAAGCGGCUCAGCCGCGGAGCCAGAGCGAAAGCGAGUCCUGUAACGAGGGCGUCCAGAGUAUGCGGCGGUAGACCCGAAGCCAGGGCGAUCUACCCAUGAGCAGGGUGAAGCUGGGGUAACACCCAGUGGAGGCCCGAACCGGUAUGGGUUGAAAACCGUUCGGAUGACUUGUGGGUAGGGGUGAAAGGCCAAUCAAGCCUGGAGAUAGCUGGUUCUCUCCGAAAUCUAUUGAGGUAGAGCCUCGAGCAUUGUGCCGUGGGGGUAGAGCGACUGGAAAGGCGCGGGCUGGCGAAGCCGGUACCAACCCUUACCAAACUCCGAAUACCAUCGGCAUGGACCUCGGGAGGCAGUCGCUGAGCGAUAAUGUCCAGCGGCGAGAGGGAAAGAACCCAGAGCCACAGCUAAGGCCCCGAAGUGGCGGCUCAGUAUAGCGAAGGAUGUGUUCCUGCAUUGACAACUGGGAGGUUGGCUUAGAAGCAGCCAUUCCUUUAAAGAGUGCGUAAUAGCUCACCAGUCCAGCGGGAACGCGCCGAGAAUGGUCGGGAUUAAGCCGCCCGCCGAAGCUUGGCCUUGCAGCAUUGCUGCAGGGGUAGGAGAGCGUUCCGGGAGCACUGAAGGGUCCGUGGAAACGUUGACCUGGAGCGACCGGAAGUGAGGAUGCCGGAUUAAGUACGCGCAAAUACGGGUGAAAACCCCGUACACCGUAAGCCUAAGGAUUCCUGCGCCAUGGCAAUCAGCGCAGGGUGAGGCGGACCCUAAGGUGAGGCCCCAGAGGCGUAACCGAUGGACAGCCGGUCAAAAUUCCGGCCCCGCUGACAGUGCGUUAACACCGACGAAGGGACCGUGGAACGAAAGGGGAGCGGCCUUGUGGAUGGCCGUCUAAGGGUGUAGGCGCAAGCCGAGACCUGAAUGCGAGUGCGCGGGGCAACCCAAGCGCGAGUUCUCUGGAGUCGACACGCAAGAAAAGCUUCGAUCGGAAGUGCUGGCAGCGUCCGUACCGCAAACCGACACAGGUAGGCGAGGCGAGCAGCCUAAGGUGUUCGAGUGAAACGUGGUCAAGGAACUCGGCAUAAUGAUCCCGUAACUUCGGAAGAAGGGAUGCCGGAGAGGGUAACACACACGCCCGCUCCGGUCGCAGAGAAUCGACUCAAGCGACUGUUUAGCAAAAACACAGGUGCAUGCCAAGCCGCACAAGGCGCCGUAUAUGCACUGACGCCUGCCCGGUGCCGGAAGGUUAAGGGGAGAGGUUAGCCGCAAGGCGAAGCUUCGAGCCGAAGCCCCGGUAAACGGCGGCCGUAACUAUAACGGUCCUAAGGUAGCGAAAUUCCUUGUCGGGUAAGUUCCGACC